RNAcentral lists this transfer RNA (68 nucleotides) under Episcapha fortunii. Its description in RNAcentral is "tRNA-Ala". It matches the Rfam family "tRNA". Rfam says of the family: Transfer RNA (tRNA) molecules are approximately 80 nucleotides in length. Their secondary structure includes four short double-helical elements and three loops (D, anti-codon, and T loops). The record is from RNAcentral. Lineage: Eukaryota; Metazoa; Arthropoda; Insecta; Coleoptera; Erotylidae.
AGGAUAAUAGUUAAACUUAUAACAUUUAAUUUGCAUUUAAAAAUUAUUGAUUAAACCAAUUUAUCUUA